AACUUUUGACAAUGGAUCACUUGGCUCUCGCAUCGAUGAAGAACGCAGCGAAUUGCGAUAAGUAAUGUGAAUUGCAGAAUUUCAGUGAAUCAUCGAAUCUUUGAACGCACCUUGCGCUCCUUGGUAUUCCGAGGAGCAUGCCUGUUUGAGUGUCAUCGAAUUUCUCAAAGCCCAUGUAUUGAUUUUCAUGGGCUUUGGACUUGGGAGCUGCUGGUGGCGAAAAGCUGUCAGCUCUCCUCAAAUGCAUUAGCAAAGGGCUAGCAAGUCUUUGACGUGCACGGCCUUCGACGUGAUAAUGAUCGUCGUGGCUGGAGCGUUUGGACAUGCAUGAAUCAUCCGUGCUUCCAAUCAAUCCUAGGCUAGCCUUGAGUUUUAGCUGCUUAGCUAUUAGUUCGGUCGCAAGGCCAACGAACGUUGGGCAGGCUCAGGCUCAGGCUCGUCUUUCUUCGAAACUUG
This 456-nucleotide unclassified non-coding RNA is filed under the name uncultured Boletaceae. RNAcentral describes it as "sequence contains ITS2". The stretch from base 1 to 155 matches the Rfam family "5.8S ribosomal RNA". Lineage: Eukaryota; Fungi; Basidiomycota; Agaricomycetes; Boletales; Boletaceae. The record is from RNAcentral.